Molecule: ribosomal RNA, 2927 nt
Filed under: Escherichia coli
Lineage: Bacteria; Pseudomonadati; Pseudomonadota; Gammaproteobacteria; Enterobacterales; Enterobacteriaceae
Description: 23S ribosomal RNA
Rfam family: Bacterial large subunit ribosomal RNA
Source: RNAcentral
GGGUUGUGAGGUUAAGCGACUAAGCGUACACGGUGGAUGCCCUGGCAGUCAGAGGCGAUGAAGGACGUGCUAAUCUGCGAUAAGCGUCGGUAAGGUGAUAUGAACCGUUAUAACCGGCGAUUUCCGAAUGGGGAAACCCAGUGUGAUUCGUCACACUAUCAUUAACUGAAUCCAUAGGUUAAUGAGGCGAACCGGGGGAACUGAAACAUCUAAGUACCCCGAGGAAAAGAAAUCAACCGAGAUUCCCCCAGUAGCGGCGAGCGAACGGGGAGGAGCCCAGAGCCUGAAUCAGUGUGUGUGUUAGUGGAAGCGUCUGGAAAGGCGCGCGAUACAGGGUGACAGCCCCGUACACAAAAAUGCACAUGCUGUGAGCUCGAUGAGUAGGGCGGGACACGUGGUAUCCUGUCUGAAUAUGGGGGGACCAUCCUCCAAGGCUAAAUACUCCUGACUGACCGAUAGUGAACCAGUACCGUGAGGGAAAGGCGAAAAGAACCCCGGCGAGGGGAGUGAAAAAGAACCUGAAACCGUGUACGUACAAGCAGUGGGAGCACAGAGCAAUCUGUGUGACUGCGUACCUUUUGUAUAAUGGGUCAGCGACUUAUAUUCUGUAGCAAGGUUAACCGAAUAGGGGAGCCGAAGGGAAACCGAGUCUUAACUGGGCGUUAAGUUGCAGGGUAUAGACCCGAAACCCGGUGAUCUAGCCAUGGGCAGGUUGAAGGUUGGGUAACACUAACUGGAGGACCGAACCGACUAAUGUUGAAAAAUUAGCGGAUGACUUGUGGCUGGGGGUGAAAGGCCAAUCAAACCGGGAGAUAGCUGGUUCUCCCCGAAAGCUAUUUAGGUAGCGCCUCGUGAAUUCAUCUCCGGGGGUAGAGCACUGUUUCGGCAAGGGGGUCAUCCCGACUUACCAACCCGAUGCAAACUGCGAAUACCGGAGAAUGUUAUCACGGGAGACACACGGCGGGUGCUAACGUCCGUCGUGAAGAGGGAAACAACCCAGACCGCCAGCUAAGGUCCCAAAGUCAUGGUUAAGUGGGAAACGAUGUGGGAAGGCCCAGACAGCCAGGAUGUUGGCUUAGAAGCAGCCAUCAUUUAAAGAAAGCGUAAUAGCUCACUGGUCGAGUCGGCCUGCGCGGAAGAUGUAACGGGGCUAAACCAUGCACCGAAGCUGCGGCAGCGACGCUUAUGCGUUGUUGGGUAGGGGAGCGUUCUGUAAGCCUGUGAAGGUGUGCUGUGAGGCAUGCUGGAGGUAUCAGAAGUGCGAAUGCUGACAUAAGUAACGAUAAAGCGGGUGAAAAGCCCGCUCGCCGGAAGACCAAGGGUUCCUGUCCAACGUUAAUCGGGGCAGGGUGAGUCGACCCCUAAGGCGAGGCCGAAAGGCGUAGUCGAUGGGAAACAGGUUAAUAUUCCUGUACUUGGUGUUACUGCGAAGGGGGGACGGAGAAGGCUAUGUUGGCCGGGCGACGGUUGUCCCGGUUUAAGCGUGUAGGCUGGUUUUCCAGGCAAAUCCGGAAAAUCAAGGCUGAGGCGUGAUGACGAGGCACUACGGUGCUGAAGCAACAAAUGCCCUGCUUCCAGGAAAAGCCUCUAAGCAUCAGGUAACAUCAAAUCGUACCCCAAACCGACACAGGUGGUCAGGUAGAGAAUACCAAGGCGCUUGAGAGAACUCGGGUGAAGGAACUAGGCAAAAUGGUGCCGUAACUUCGGGAGAAGGCACGCUGAUAUGUAGGUGAAGCGACUUGCUCGUGGAGCUGAAAUCAGUCGAAGAUACCAGCUGGCUGCAACUGUUUAUUAAAAACACAGCACUGUGCAAACACGAAAGUGGACGUAUACGGUGUGACGCCUGCCCGGUGCCGGAAGGUUAAUUGAUGGGGUCAGCGCAAGCGAAGCUCUUGAUCGAAGCCCCGGUAAACGGCGGCCGUAACUAUAACGGUCCUAAGGUAGCGAAAUUCCUUGUCGGGUAAGUUCCGACCUGCACGAAUGGCGUAAUGAUGGCCAGGCUGUCUCCACCCGAGACUCAGUGAAAUUGAACUCGCUGUGAAGAUGCAGUGUACCCGCGGCAAGACGGAAAGACCCCGUGAACCUUUACUAUAGCUUGACACUGAACAUUGAGCCUUGAUGUGUAGGAUAGGUGGGAGGCUUAGAAGUGUGGACGCCAGUCUGCAUGGAGCCGACCUUGAAAUACCACCCUUUAAUGUUUGAUGUUCUAACGUUGACCCGUGAUCCGGGUUGCGGACAGUGUCUGGUGGGUAGUUUGACUGGGGCGGUCUCCUCCUAAAGAGUAACGGAGGAGCACGAAGGUUGGCUAAUCCUGGUCGGACAUCAGGAGGUUAGUGCAAUGGCAUAAGCCAGCUUGACUGCGAGCGUGACGGCGCGAGCAGGUGCGAAAGCAGGUCAUAGUGAUCCGGUGGUUCUGAAUGGAAGGGCCAUCGCUCAACGGAUAAAAGGUACUCCGGGGAUAACAGGCUGAUACCGCCCAAGAGUUCAUAUCGACGGCGGUGUUUGGCACCUCGAUGUCGGCUCAUCACAUCCUAGGGCUGAAGUAGGUCCCAAGGGUAUGGCUGUUCGCCAUUUAAAGUGGUACGCGAGCUGGGUUUAGAACGUCGUGAGACAGUUCGGUCCCUAUCUGCCGUGGGCGCUGGAGAACUGAGGGGGGCUGCUCCUAGUACGAGAGGACCGGAGUGGACGCAUCACUGGUGUUCGGGUUGUCAUGCCAAUGGCACUGCCCGGUAGCUAAAUGCGGAAGAGAUAAGUGCUGAAAGCAUCUAAGCACGAAACUUGCCCCGAGAUGAGUUCUCCCUGACUCCUUGAGAGUCCUGAAGGAACGUUGAAGACGACGACGUUGAUAGGCCGGGUGUGUAAGCGCAGCGAUGCGUUGAGCUAACCGGUACUAAUGAACCGUGAGGCUUAACCUUACAACGCCGAAG